UAUCGACGCUGCGUCGAUUAUCUGGAAAUAAGGCAUCGUCCCCUUGCCAUUACCAGAUGCAACAGCCUCCAUCCCCCUCUCAAGGCUGUUGCGCAGUAGCAGUGAUAAGGUCGCUGUGGUUCCCCUCUCCACAGCGGCCUAAUUUU
Molecule: small RNA, 146 nt
Filed under: Bartonella tamiae Th239
Lineage: Bacteria; Pseudomonadati; Pseudomonadota; Alphaproteobacteria; Hyphomicrobiales; Bartonellaceae
Description: Alphaproteobacterial sRNA ar7
Rfam family: Alphaproteobacterial sRNA ar7
Source: Rfam by way of RNAcentral